RNAcentral lists this long non-coding RNA (1004 nucleotides) under Calidris pygmaea (Spoon-billed sandpiper). RNAcentral describes it as "lncRNA (ENSCPGG00000013510.1)". The record is from RNAcentral. Lineage: Eukaryota; Metazoa; Chordata; Aves; Charadriiformes; Scolopacidae.
ACUGGGAAGGACAGAAAGAGCACUCAGAGGCCCUGGGGAGCCCUGGGAUGGACUGGGAGGCACUGGAAGGGCACUGGGAGGCACUGGGAAGGACAGGAAGGGCACUGGGAGGCCCUGGGGAGCCCUGGGAUGGACUGGGAGGCACUGGGAGGUAUUGGGAAGGACAAUGAGAGGCACUGGGAAGCACUGGGAUGGACUGAGAGGCACUGGAAGGGCACUGGGAAGGGCACUCAGAGGUCCUGGGGAGCACUGGGAUGGACUGGGAAGGGCACUGGGAAGCACUGGGAUGGACUGGGAGACACUAGGAAGGGCACUGGGAAGGACAGGAAGAGCACUCAGAGGCCCUGGGGAGCCCUGGGAUGGACUGGGAAGCACUGGAAAGGCACUGGAGGCCACUGGGAGGCACUGGGAUGCCCCAGGAGGCACUGGGAAAGCACUGGGAAGGCCCUAAGAAGGCAGUGGGAGGCACUGGAGAGCACUGGGUUGCCCCAGGAGGGACUGGGACAACUCAAGAGGCACUGGGAAGCUCUGGAGGCCACUGGGAGGCACUCGGAUGCCCUGGGAGGCACUGGGACAACACAAGAGGCACUGGGAAGCUCUGGAGGCCACUGGGAGGCACUGGGAUGCCCCGGGAGGCACUGGGAAAGCACUGGGAAGGCACUGGGAAGGCACUGGGAAGGCACUGGGAGGCACUGGUUGCCACCCGCGCCGCCCCGGGCCGGGGUGCGGUGGGAGGGUGGGACUGCCCCGACCGGCCCCGCUCCCUCCCGGGGUGGCCCCAGCUCAGGCGGGGCCCCACGGGGAUUUAAGGAGCUGGGGCCCCCGCGCCCCAUCACCUUCCUCUUCCUCCCACCGCCAUGGAGCGCCUCCUGCCCCUGCUGCUCCUGGCCGCCGGUACGGGUACUGGGAGGCACUGGGAGGGCACUGGGAGGGCACUGGGAGGAGGCUGGGGGCCGCUAGGGGGCGCUGGGAGGCACUGGGAGGCACUGGGAGGGGGGUGGGGG